GGCUAAAAUAGCCUUCUAACUUGCCGUAGAGGUCCCUUUUUUUUUAGACAUCCUGUGGCCCUUAUAAAAAGAUGUUACAGUGAGAACAGGAACAGAAAAUACAUUGUGGAAUAAAAUGAAAUAAAAAUCAGUAACUUUUGCACUCCUUUAAAUUAUGGCUACUCAACUUUAACAUGUAUUGAAAAUAACUUUUAAAAUAUAAUUUAUUAUUUUUAAGCUAAAAUGAAAAAGGUGUAAGCAUAAAUAAAACAUCACUGGAUAUUUUCUGAAUCCAGAGGAGUGCUCUUACAAAUUCUUAAAAAAAAAAAAAAAAUUGUUGAUGAUUUGCUUCCCAGUAGGACUGCAGGGACAAACAUCAGUCCAUCUGCUCUGUCACACAUCUGAAGAUGUGUGGGUGCUCCAUUAGUAAGCCAGAAAGCAGUAUUAACUUGUGACAGGUUUAAUUUCUCACGGACUUUCAAUGUCAGGCAUUCUGAAGCACAGUCUUUAAGCCCCCCCCCUUUUUUUUUAUUUUUUUCUUUCGAUGGGGACAGUAAGCGGUCCAGAAGCCUGAACUGUUGAGUUGGAGAAGCCUACUUAGGCUUUUAGCAUACUAAAGUACAGCUAAAUGUCUCUGCCUAGGUGGUACAACUCAUUGGCAGUACAAAAAUAAAAAAAAUUUAGGAAUGGUUAGCCUGGAAUUUUCAAACAGCCACAGCUUAAAAAUCAAGUCAAAAUCAUCUACUUACAAAAAAUGGCUUUUUCUGUAUCACAAUGUAUUUAAAUUCUAGUCUUCAAUGUUUGAAUUUCUGUAUUUGUGCUCCAAUAGUUUUAAAAUAUCUACAUGAUUUCCUUCAGGUUGCCUAAACAUGAUUCAUCUUUGAAGGGAAGAAAAGCUUAGAAAAUCUUGGCAUAAGAGGUACAUAUUUGAAGAAACAACAGGAUAAGAAUGUAACGAUUUCCUUAAAGGUUAUAGUCUUGUUUCCAGACAAGUCCAAUGCUUAUAGAAGCAUAAGAAGAUUAUAUUAUGUCUUUAAAUGGGAAGCGAAUGUAGAAUUUGCUUUGGUGGGUAUGCCAAUUUAAUUCUCUUUUGCCCUGACAGAAGUUAUAGAGAAAAGGUAUUUGUGUUUGAGUAAUGUUUGCAUAAGAAUGUCAGUUAAAUAAGGAAUAAUCUGUUGGUAAAGAGAUUAAAACCAAUGUUAAAAAAUUUAUAUUUAAAGCAUAGUCAUAGCAUAAAAAGUACUUAUUGUUUCAGAAAAAUGAUGUAUAGACUGAAUUAAACUUGAAAACAUGAAGGUUUUACAAUCUUCCCAGUUUUUUCACACCUAGAUUCAGAAACUAGACUGUAAAGUGCAAAUGUUUCAUUUCUUUAUUUUAUUUAAAAUGUAAAUGCUGUGCUGUGUUUAUGAUUGCCUGUGAAGAACUUAGCAUAUUACUUAUACUAUGAAAACUUGCAUGUUUCUACAUAAUCUUCAGAAAYACUGAAAUUUAUUAUUCAGCCUAGGGACACUUUAAGUAGGGAUGUACAGGCUACAUAUUUUGAUGUUAACCUUAUUAGAGUUUUCCUUAAGAAUGCAGUUUCAUGAAAAAAAUUGUCAUCUCGACAAAUAUUAAUAGAAGCUUUGGGGGUUUGAUUUACAGUCUAGAUCAAUAAAGGUAAAUGCAGCUUUUGCA
Molecule: long non-coding RNA, 1653 nt
Filed under: Apteryx owenii (little spotted kiwi)
Lineage: Eukaryota; Metazoa; Chordata; Aves; Apterygiformes; Apterygidae
Description: lncRNA (ENSAOWG00000008688.1)
Source: RNAcentral